This is a long non-coding RNA of Lolium rigidum, 3358 nucleotides long. RefSeq lists it as uncharacterized. The transcript has 6 exons. Lineage: Eukaryota; Viridiplantae; Streptophyta; Magnoliopsida; Poales; Poaceae. The record is from RefSeq and is a predicted model, not a curated record.
GCCAUAGCCGGAGCUCAUUGGUCGUGGAGAAGUCCAUGGCCCUGCGUACCACCUGCACGGUCAAUCUGCCGCAGGAGAAACGGCCUGCAUGCCGCAGCGAGAGGCCACGCAAGAUUCAACACCGCCCCCAACCCCAAGGCUUGAUUCGCGGAACCUCUGCCCGGUGCCCCCAGAAUAUUCCAGCACAACCCUCUACGCAUAGCCGGCGGAAAUGUUAUUGAAUUGGGAAUCAAUAUGGGAGACUUUCCAUGGUGAGCCAUAGAGGUCAAUUUCCUGUUCAUAAUCUUAUCUUUGUUUAUGUCUGCAUUUUCCUCAAUUAUUUCUUAAUCAUGUGAAUCAUGUGUAGAUUGUUUCUGUAUAGUUCUACAUACUCACCUCCAUGCUACAUUUGAGGAGAGCCUACAGAUUGUCGUAUUAUUUUGUUCACCCAUGAUACAAGGUUCUUCACUUUCAAUUUUUUCUCUGAAUUCUCAAUCAUGUGAAUCAUGUGUAGAUUGUUUCCGUAUAUCUGGACAUAAUCAUCUCCAUGCUACAUUUGAGGAGAGGCUACAGAUGGUCGUAUUAUUGUUUAACCAUGAUACGAGGUUCUUCACUUUCAGUUUUUUCUUUGAAUAAUAUUGAUUGCCUGAAAGCAAGUCUUCUAUUGCUCCUGCAACUAUACAUUUUGUAUGAAUUUUCUUUGCCUACAUGAUGGGUGAUGAUUUGUUGUGCCAAUUAUUCGCAGCUAGGGAGAUGAGGUGGGUUACCGGGUAGGAACCAGAACAAGAAUGAGAAGGAGCUUAAGUAGGAGCAUUGCAAGUUGAUAUGGGAGCUCAACUUUAGCAUAUUCACCCGCCUCCACAUGCCCUCCUGGCUUUCGUUCACAGGGAUCUGCAACCGCUGGGCCUUCACUGUGGGCGCUGCCGCCUUCGCGCAGGGUGUGGUUGAUCGCUGCCGCCUGGUCUUCACCGCGGGCGCCGCGGAAUCCUUGCUGAGUGCUAUUGGUGGACAUCUCCAUGCUCCAUCGACGUGUGCCGCUGGUGCCGUGAACUAUCUAGGAUAAGGUGCCAAGGUGGGAUCAUGGUUUAGGAACCCAGGAGCUGGUGUUGCUGCUUCAGCAAGUGCCGGAUGCGGCGGCAAGUAUCGUACAACUAGGACAACUGGCUCUUAUGAUGACAAUGGAAAUGCCACUGCAGUACAUGAUUCAAGAGAAAAGAGAAAAGUGAAGGUGCUGCACUUAGCAUUUAAAUUUCCCCUUAAAACACACAAAAUAUAAGUAGCUAAGAUGGGCCUCCAACGCCCCAUAUCAUGUUCAGAAGUUGCUCCGAGAUGAAUUAAAUUAGCCAUGGCACAAUGAUAUGUCAUAUUAUCAUGAUAUACUUUCAUUAGUCAGAACAUAAGUGAUAUGUUUUUGCACUCCAUCAUUAUCUAUUUUGAGAAAUCGUACAUCGGCACUAGAUUUAGAAUUAGGGUAAUUUUUUUGGCUUUAGAAGUUUUUACCUUUCACUUUUCUAUACCAGUUCUUCAACUGAAAAUGUGAUCUACUCAGGAUGAAAUUAUGGACAUAUAGCCUAGCUAUUUCUUUCUGCCGAUUAUUGUUAGGAAGUAAUACAGUAUUUCUACCGUCGGAUCUAAUUUCUUUGUCCUAUUGCCUACAUUCUAAUCACAUUGUUAUUUUUCCACGUGGGUACCCCAUUUACUGCUACCUGACCUUGAUUACCUAGAACAUGAUGAGUUGAUGGCAAAGGUAAUUUUACUAUCUUAGUGGUUUCUCUUGGUCAUAAAGUCACUUACUCAACAUACUUUUUGGCAUGUCAUAUUGUGUACAAUUGUUUCCAAAGAGGAGGUUGUUCAACUAUAGUACCUGCCACUUAAUACCGUUGCAUCCUAUGAUACAAAAUAAGGUUCCACCCUAUCUUAUUGAUCUGUAUAUGUCUAUAUGGCAACAGAAAUCCAGGUUGGCAUACACCCGAAAAAGAUGGAAAUUAGGCAGGACACGCACAGUUCCGAAAAACACUCUGGCUCAUCGUGACUUCUUUACCCAGUUCACCAGGUUACUAAUGUGUUUGGUCAUGAAAGGAAAGCAGGUCCAAAAGUAUGGGAAUGCAGACAAGAGCACAUCGGAAGUCAGCUACAUGAACUGCACGACAAAUGCUUGCUACACUCGCCUAGCCUGAUCAAGGAGUCCAGAGGAAGGAGAAGCAAGCUUGGCUCAAGGAUUUUAACUAUGCUGUAUUUUGCCCUGGGAACAGGCAAUACGAGCAUUUCAAUAAGAAUUGUUGAACAGAGAUACACAGAUUGAAUAUUUUAUUGGAGGCGCUCCAAAUGAAGUUGGAGAGUGGCCAAGAGGAAGGAAUUGAUUGUAUGAUUUAUUUUCAUACAUACUACUUCCGUAUGUUAGUCCCCUUUCCACCUCUCUGUAUGAUUGCAAUCAGUAUUAUCAUGAUGUAGUACAUUGCGAUAUCUCUGAUUUGUUUUGAAUUUUAUAAUGAGUUGUGAAUUAUAUAUGUGCAUUGAGAAAUGAAAUUUGAAGACCCGUAGCAACGCACGGACAUUUGUACUAGUAAGAAUAGAAAGGCCAAGGCAUCAGCUGCUACACCAACCAAGAAGCAGAUCGACGAAGAACUCUUCCCACACAAAUAAAGAUGUUAGCACUCUGAGCAUACCGGAGAUCUGUCCACAAGAACAGAUCAAUUCAGCUUGAGAACCCAAAGCAAAAAACCCUCCCACGUCAGCAAGUCUGCCCCAUGCGUCCUUUGUCAUCCACGUCAGCAACAAUUAGUACUAACCAUGCAGAUCAAACGUGACCGCCUUUUUGCAGCUAAAGCCCAUAAGGCCCACUAAAAAAGCCCUCUACCGGUGAUCCUCUUCCAACCAGCAAUGAGAAGCUAAUAAGGCAGCUAAGCGCAUAAGGCCCACUAAAAAAGCAACGGAGGUUGAUCGAAAAAGAAACGAAGCGGCCGACGGCCUCUUUCUCUUCCUCUCUCCCACGAUAUGUGCAGUGCCUAUUGAGUCCUCGCCGCAGUAAUGGUGGAAAAUGAAUCGCUUGAGCCGGCGAGGCAAGCGAGCAGUCGCUGGCGGGCUGCCUUUUUAUUCUUCUCCGCCCACCUCAUUUGUGCCCCGUGUCACCAGUCCACCCUCUCUCGGUUCUCCCUGCAUCAACCUUUCUCGGUUCUCCCUGCAUCAAACCCCUAAUCUGGAUUUGAAUGUCGAGUGUCGAAGUCUUAUUACUAUCAGCAAUACUAGCAGUAGGAGUCCUCGGUGGGCAUUACUCGACUAAGGAACUCUAGAAGCAAAGGUAAUACCAAGUGUGAUAUUGAAUCAGAGUGUUUGGAUUUAUCCAUUUGCGGUGUUGACAAAAAUUUAGUUUGAAGAUGCA